ACACUAUUUAACAGUUUCACACUCGAUCUCAAAUAGGCUAUUCAUGUGGUAUGAUUCCCAAGUCUGCUGUGAGCAUUCAGCCGUGACCACAAAAAACUCCACUGCUUUCAAGCUUCCCAUUGACUAAUUCAUUACUGUGAACUAUAAAAAAUAAGAUCAAUAGCUAUCUUAAGUACUUUCUCCUUGAAGAUUCAUUUGCAUUCAACAAACAAAGUAAAAAGAAAAAAUAGAGAAGACUUCAUUCUGAUUUUACUAUACUCUCCCACAGGAGCAGGCAUGAAACCUUAUGAAGCUGCCAAAAUCUCAGCAGUUCCGUAUAAAUCCACUGGGCUCUGUUUUCCUGUCAAGCAAGCAUCCAUGUUGUUUCAUCAAGUCGUCCUGCGAUAGAACAACCAUCCUGCAAUAAAACUUGGACACAUUUUAUAAAUCCAACGAACAGGCUCUCAGCUUUCCAAGUUCAAUAUAAAAAGUAAACAUCUCGACUACUUUUUUAGAAACAUCUCAAAAAAAUGCAGUUAGCUCCUACCAAAAUCACACCACAAAACCAUGGAGAGGGUCUGAUGAUAAAUAAACAUUUUCCAAUGGACAGAAGCCAAUUGUAGUUACUACAAUUUCAAGCAAAUCAAUUUGGAUCAAUACAAGCAAAUAAGAGUCUAAAAAGUAGCAGAGAAUAAGGGAAAUAUGUUGGUCUUGCAGAAACAAUGAGGAGGUUUCAAUUGAUCCUAUCCAGGGCUCUGUCUAGCAUGGCUCUAAACGUCUAAGAUUACACUAGAAAAAAGGUAGGAAUGUUAACAGCAAGCCUGCCUUCAUAAUAUUACUACCAUGCAGCUGAUCUGACGUAAACAACUGAGACCAUGUCAGCUGCAUGAGGGUACAUCCAUUUCAAGAUAGUAGGGGUCUCUCAUUGGUAUACACAAUUUUAUGCAGGCCCAGACAAAGAUGAGUUACCUGCAUGCAUCUCAAAUGCAGGCUUCACCUGAAAAUGACAAAUGUCGGGCAUUGAGGUGCCCUAUAACCAUGAAAGGCACUUUGGAGCUGAUUCAGUCCAAUGUUUAACCAAACACUACUAGUGUGUAGUCCAAACGCAAGCACCAGACUACGGUAGAAACUCUUUUUAAACACGCAGAAAGCUUUUUUUCAUUUUUUCCCCCCAAAUAACUUUGUACCCACAAACUCCAGACAUNNNNNNNNNNNNNNNNNNNNGUAUACACAAUUUUAUGGAGGCCCAGACGAAGAUGAGUUACCUGCAUGUAUCUCAAAUGCAGGCUUCACCUGAAAAUGACAAAUGUCGGGCAUUGAGGUGCCCUAUAAUCAUGAAAGGCACUUUGGAGCUGAUUCAGUCCAAUGUUUAACCAAACACUACUAGUGUAGAGUCCAAACGCAAGCACCAGACUACGGUAGAAACCCUUUUUAAACACGCAGAAGCCUUUUUUCAUUUUUUUUCCCCAAAUAACUUUGUACCCACAAACUCCAGACAUGUAGAAAAGGAGGAGCAUCUUUUUCUAACUGUAGGCUAAGCAUCAACUAUCCAUCUUAUGGAGGGAACUCACUAGUUUCCCUAGUGCGCAUGGCCCUUUUUAGUUCAUAAGAAGUCUGCUUGCAUUGGUAACCAUCAUGCUUAACAGCUCAGCUGAGCCCUUCAUGCAAACUUUCACAUCCAACUACAGUUGGUAAUCUCCAAAUGAAUCAUAUUGCUCGCAUGAACUUGACUCCAUCAGUAUCACAUUUUUUCACAUAAUUCUCUUGGGGAAAAAAUUGAAUAUAAAUACCCAAGUAUCACAUUAAUUGAUUUAUGAAACCACGGAUCUCGCCAGCCAUACCAAAGGUCUUGCCUCUAUUUCUCUUAAAUCCUAAGUGCCUACACCUCCUUAAGCCAUUGGAUCUCUUUGCCCAUAACUUCCAUAAGCCANNNNNNNNNNNNNNNNNNNNNNNNNNGACACCCAGGCUAAACUCAACCACAAAAUCAUGGCCCUCAAAUUAACUCGAAGAAUCGCCAAGGCAAGCUUUAUUGAUCAACUACAUAGAAUGGAUAUUUCCCACGAGGUUUGCACCUACUUUCCUUAGGUUGUUACAUAGAGCACUAGCUCAACUCCAAGCCUUUCCCUCCUUUCUUUCUUUCGAAGCAAUCAAUGCGGCUAAGCAAACAAAGUAACCCUACCUAAGAGGGGCCCCACCAGACCUCUGAGGGUUGAGAGGUCAGUCAAAUCUUGAUCCGGUUGCUCCAGUUGAGCUAAUUGAGAGAAUGGCCUCAGCUGGCCUAAUAACUAGAAAAUUACUUCCUUGCAUUUGAUAAAUCGCAUCCUUCUCAGUCUCGUCCAACAAAAACACUAUCAAGACCUCAAUCACAGUGCACAAGGAGCCAAAGCAUACAUCACCAUGUGCUCACCUAUACGUAAUUGAACACCGGAAACGAUGCCCAUAGCUCUGGAUUGAGAGGUUAUUUCAUUACAUGAUCCAACCAUAUGGCAGCCAUGGGAUGCUAGAUCAAUCAUUCCACACCUUUGAGGAGAUGGAAGAUCAUGGCAUCCAUGCCACCACCAGACCACUAGAGGAGUUGAUUCGGACACGUAUACGGAACAAGAACAUCGAGAAAGUGAAUCAUGAAUUUCGCGAACUCCCACAAAUACAUGGAAACGGACUUGUUGCCACGUAUACCAUAUUGUGUAGGUGCAUAUGGCAGCCUAGGCUCGGCAGCAUCUGGAUGUGCUAGUUUGGAAGAGAUGUGUACAAAGGAGGGUUGCUUGCUUAUUGAAUGUGCAUAUAAUAUCCUGAUCCAUGGAUUUUUUCAAAUUAAGAUAUAGAUAAGAAAGUUAUGAGACUAAUCGCAAAGCAUGGCUGCCCACCAAUGGAGUUUGCACAUAAUCAAAGGAUUAAAAGAAUAUGCAAAAAUUAAUAAAAAUGGAUAGAAGCAAGAGCCGUGAUGGUUGAGGUUAAAAGGCAUAAAGCCCAAAAGUGACCUGUGUGUCCACUUGAAUCAUGGGUUCCGCAAGGUUGGAAACUUCAAAGAGGCUAAGAAGGUUACAGAUGAGAUUGCAAAGAAAGGGAAAGUUCGAAAAGGUAUAUUCAAUUGUUGUUCGGUGAAACAUCUUUUGAUGAGACAUCAAUGGGGAAGAGCAUGGUGAAUGUUUUGGCAUCUCAAAGAUUAUAAACAAUGAAGAACUUGCAAGAAUACUUUGAUCUACCAAUCAAACAGUGCCAGCACAAUGUUCAAAUCCUUGAAGAGUGUUUCAACAAUUGUUAUUGACUUUUCCUCUAAGUUAUAUCCAUAUCAUUCUUAAGUAAAGAUCUAUGAAGAUUUGGUUACUAUGUCAUUGUUUAGAGUCAUAAGGUUAAAAUUGAAUUGAUAACAAAAAGAAUGUUACUUUUAUUGCUUUCACAGUUAUGAUAUUGAUGUUUAAUUCUGCAUAAUUGUUUUUGGUGCUACUUUUUGAUGAGCCAUCUAGUGUUGUCGCAUAUUAUAUUUGCACAGCUCAAAGCACAAUAGCAAAAAGAUUUUUCAUAAAAUCUAAAGAGCAAAUUGCUAGAAACUUGGCGGCUUCCAUUUGGCAUCACUUAACAAUUUUCAGCUAUGAAAACAAAAUCGGUUUCUAUUAAAAAAAACUCGAAACUCAAAUCUUGUUUGGAAGUCAGUUGGGUUGUGGCAGUGGUAGUGGUGCGGUCACGGCCAGUGAGCAGCAGUGGUGCCGGAAGUGAUGGUGUUGGUGGCGGUGGGGUGAUAGGCAAGCGGUAGUGGGUGCUAGUGGGGUCCAACGGGAGUGGUGGCAAGGAUGGUGAAAGCAGGGGCAGCCCAAUGCAUUUGGAAGCCUAAGGCGAACUCACUAAGAAAGAUCUUUUUUUUAAAAAAACUAAAAAUUUUUAAUAAGUGCAAAAUACUCGGACCUAUCUCGCCGACCUGAACGGGUAACUAUUGAUCUUCCACAACCAUCCAGCUUAGUCAGCAUCGAGAUUGGGCUGGAUUUCAGCGGCAACAGUAUCCAACUAGAAAUUUUAAACAUGUCUCGAGGAUAUCAAAUUUGCAAUCCUAUUAGGUUCCAAAAAAUUUAACCUGAAUUCGAAUCGGGUAUACAAAGAUACUACUUUUUUUUUGCUAAAGCACAAAGAUACUACUUUGAUGUAGCCAUUAUACACAUGUGUGCAUGUACGUCCGAGUUACUCUUAGAGAACACUAAUACUAGGAAAUCUGCAGUACGAUAAGUUAGCCAUUAAACAGAGAAUAAUCUAUGUAUUAAAAUUAACGGAAGAGUGGACUAAGAGGUCAAAUUCAAUUAAGUAUAAACAACUGAAUCAUCUCGGUGUCACAUGAGAGAUGUCAGCCUGAUGACUAGGGAACGCAGGGACCAGAGGUGAGACAUCUUGCUGCAUCAUUGAUCUAUAAAAUUUAUAACCUAGCAACACCAAUCCAGAUUUUUAAUCCAAGUGGAAAAAUCAACUCGUUCACACAAUUUGCCAAACAGUUGGUGGACCACGAAAAGGCUCACGAUGUAAGAUCAAGUAAAGCCAAGCCAAGCCUCGGCCUGGCCACUGGACAGAUGAAUGGUUAUCACAAAAAGAGUUCGGAGAACGAGACAAGAAGAAAAAAAGGGCAUACCUUGCGAGUGGAAAUAAGGUCCGGGGAUGAGUGGCCUCGACUUCGGUGGAUUCGUCUUGUUCUCAGGCCUAACUAGAAACGACUACAGAUCAGCGGAUGGGAUUGGGAGCGGCCGAGGACUUGGGUAAGAGAUUGGAGAUGUGAUUUUGGCGGAAGGCUUCUGGCUCCUGGGACCCAGACGAGAAGACGCCGGACAGGCCCGAACUGCCCGCUGCCGAAGUGGGAAUGUGGGAUUUGGGAACGGCGAGUCGGCGAACAGAGGCGGUAAGAGAUGUCUUUGAUGAACAGUGAACUGAUCGAGGGUCUGGUUCCCCGGCUGCGGUAGCCCGUAGCCGCGGUACUCCUUGUAACCCCGGCCGGAGACGACCUGCUGGCUCGCCCCUGGGGCGAUGGGAAGCAGCCCUUGGGGCGAUGGGAAGCAGCCUCUUGCAGUGCGAUUGCGAUGGAAAGUAGCCGUGGCACUAUAGCAGCGAAGAAAAUUUAAGAUUUUACUGUAGCUCUUCCUUGAACCUAAGCGGUGGCCUUCCUUUGGGCCAGGGAUUAGGCGACCGCCUAGGUCGGGCCGGCCCUGGGUGAAAGAGGCAGCGGUGGUGGCAAUGGGCGG
RNAcentral lists this long non-coding RNA (5192 nucleotides) under Phoenix dactylifera (date palm). RNAcentral describes it as "long non-coding RNA (PDAC_LNC004107)". Lineage: Eukaryota; Viridiplantae; Streptophyta; Magnoliopsida; Arecales; Arecaceae. The record is from RNAcentral.